GCAAGCAUUCGCCCCCCCCCCACUGUUACUAUAACCUAGGUUAAAGCAGCGUUGCUUUGCAUCGGAAAAAUUUAAGGUAGAGCUUUGAUCUCCUCUCUAUGAAAGUAAAGUAAUACAUUAUCCUGACCUCAAAGAAGUAGUCUCAAUUAGGGGCAUUGAAUGAAAUAAUUGACCUUGACAUUACUUCAGCUCGGGGCACAAAGCUGUUAUCAAAAUGACUUAUCGAGAAGUAAGACAUGCUACAAUAAGGACUAUGUAUUUAAUAAUUCUACAUUUUGAAUUUUAAGCUCCCAGAGUGCUUACCACCACAAGGGCAAAUACUGGCUUUGCAGUGGCCAAUAAGGAGAGUACAUUGCAUUAGAGCGAAAUCUGUGCUGAGAUCAUGCGUUGGUAAAGGAAAUAAUCUUUGUUUAAACACUAAUAUUGUUAAUAUUUUCUACAUACUUCAUUUGCAUCUUAAUUUAGUUCUUUGAUUAUGAAAUAUCUCUUCUAUGUGUUGCAGGGUAUCUUUUUAAGUAUCGACACCAAGAUUGGAGGCAGAAACGUGCAGGGAAAGCAUGGGAUUAAAAGAACCUGAGAAAAUGGACAGCACUGUUGGGGGCUUGUGAGUUCCUGUCACAGUACUGAGCUUGAACAAUUUCGAUUAAAGCCCCAUGUUUGAGACUGUCAUUAGACCUGCAUUAAAUUACAUAUCUGGAGUGUUAAAAAAUAAAGAGUACAGUAGCUUUUUCUCAGCUACCUAAGGUGAGUGAAGCUGCAAGUUGAGGCCCUGUCCACAUAUAAAUACUGGAAGAGCUGAAAUCCAGGGAGACUGCUGAAAAAAAAAUUGACAACAACCACAAAAGACUUUAUUUUUUAUUGCACGAGGCCCACAUAUGACUUUGAAUAUUUUUUAGUCUGUUGUUUGGUGACGCCUAAGAAGAGUCCUGCUGCCAAUGUUCCUCACCUUGCCUCCCGUGGAAAGGGAAUGAUGUGCACAGACUCUUGUUAUGCAAAGGGAAAAAACAAGGGACAAUACGUUGCUGCUGAUGCAGGUGAUGAUGAUACAACCCAGCAGAAGAAGAUGAACUUCUUCCUGAAGAUGGAGCGACUACUCCUGGUCCGUGGUAGGUCUUUAUAGCAAGAAGGCCUCUUUAACUGCUUCUUGUUGAAACGUAUCCAUUUGGUGUGUGCCCUGUGAAACUCCAAAGCGAUAGCAGCAGCAAAUGCAUCUAUAAUGGCAUAAACAUGUAACAGCAUCCAACUAUACAGUCAAUAGCAAGAAGGCAGCUCUUAAUUCAGCUCUUAAUUUGCUCUGGCCUUCCAAACAAGGAAGAAGGUCUUCAGAGAGAAAACACUUAAAUGAUGUAAAAUGAAGAUUGUCAUCCAAAUGAGGGAUUAGUGAAAAGGAACAGAGCUACUAGAAGUAAGUUCCAUAUUACAGGCCCACAUACAGAAUCAAUAGAUGUUCUUUCAAAGAUCCAACCCUCACAACUUUUGAAGCAUCACAUACAACAAAGGAAGUCUCAAUUUGAAACAAAGGAGGAUUAUGGAUCUCAGAAACUGAGAAAAGGUGACAUUGUCAUAGAGCCAUGAAAUUCUGGGUUUGACAGUAAACAAAUCAACUCGUGAUGAUUACACAGCAAAUAUGUGGGAUAUUAUAGCUGGUAAGUGUUGUAGAGGUUAUUUCACAAAGCAUCUUCCUCCUUUAUUUCAUAGAUAAAGGAACCCCUGUUUGGGGCUGCCAUGUCUCUCCCAAACUUUUGUUAUCAGUGGAGCUUAGAACGUAGACCAUCUGUCACAGAGGUAAGUGUUUCUUGAAUUAAUAUCCAUAAUUCCAUUACUGGUCUCUCUGCUCACCUUAUUGCCCUUCUAUAGUCUAUUCUAUACAUAAUACCAAAACGAUCUUUUAAACCUGAAUUCAGAUCAUUUGACUAUGCCUAAUAAACUUUCUAGUGGUUUGUUAUCA
This 1948-nucleotide long non-coding RNA is filed under the name Felis catus (domestic cat). RNAcentral describes it as "lncRNA (ENSFCAG00000046071.2)". Lineage: Eukaryota; Metazoa; Chordata; Mammalia; Carnivora; Felidae. The record is from RNAcentral.